RNAcentral lists this ribosomal RNA (601 nucleotides) under Agrobacterium pusense. RNAcentral's name for it is "bacterial SSU rRNA". It matches the Rfam family "Bacterial small subunit ribosomal RNA", at positions 55 to 705 of the family's 1533-position model. Lineage: Bacteria; Pseudomonadati; Pseudomonadota; Alphaproteobacteria; Hyphomicrobiales; Rhizobiaceae. The record is from RNAcentral.
AUGCAGUCGAACGCCCCGCAAGGGGAGUGGCAGACGGGUGAGUAACGCGUGGGAACAUACCCUUUCCUGCGGAAUAGCUCCGGGAAACUGGAAUUAAUACCGCAUACGCCCUACGGGGGAAAGAUUUAUCGGGGAAGGAUUGGCCCGCGUUGGAUUAGCUAGUUGGUGGGGUAAAGGCCUACCAAGGCGACGAUCCAUAGCUGGUCUGAGAGGAUGAUCAGCCACAUUGGGACUGAGACACGGCCCAAACUCCUACGGGAGGCAGCAGUGGGGAAUAUUGGACAAUGGGCGCAAGCCUGAUCCAGCCAUGCCGCGUGAGUGAUGAAGGCCUUAGGGUUGUAAAGCUCUUUCACCGAUGAAGAUAAUGACGGUAGUCGGAGAAGAAGCCCCGGCUAACUUCGUGCCAGCAGCCGCGGUAAUACGAAGGGGGCUAGCGUUGUUCGGAAUUACUGGGCGUAAAGCGCACGUAGGCGGAUAUUUAAGUCAGGGGUGAAAUCCCGCAGCUCAACUGCGGAACUGCCUUUGAUACUGGGUAUCUUGAGUAUGGAAGAGGUAAGUGGAAUUCCGAGUGUAGAGGUGAAAUUCGUAGAUAUUCGGAGGA